GAUGAACGCUGGCGGCGUGCCUAAUACAUGCGAGUCGAGCGAACGGACGAGAAGCUUGCUUUUCUGAUGUUAGCGGCGGACGGGUGAGUAACACGUGGAUAACCUACCUAUAAGACUGGGAUAACUUCGGGAAACCGGAGCUAAUACCGGAUAAUAUUUUGAACCGCAUGGUUCAAAAGUGAAAGACGGUCUUGCUGUCACUUAUAGAUGGAUCCGCGCUGCAUUAGCUAGUUGGUAAGGUAACGGCUUACCAAGGCAACGAUGCAUAGCCGACCUGAGAGGGUGAUCGGCCACACUGGAACUGAGACACGGUCCAGACUCCUACGGGAGGCAGCAGUAGGGAAUCUUCCGCAAUGGGCGAAAGCCUGACGGAGCAACGCCGCGUGAGUGAUGAAGGUCUUCGGAUCGUAAAACUCUGUUAUUAGGGAAGAACAUAUGUGUAAGUAACUGUGCACAUCUUGACGGUACCUAAUCAGAAAGCCACGGCUAACUACGUG
Molecule: ribosomal RNA, 497 nt
Filed under: uncultured bacterium
Lineage: Bacteria
Description: partial 16S ribosomal RNA
Rfam family: Bacterial small subunit ribosomal RNA
Source: RNAcentral